UCCGUGUUUCUGCCUGCAGCCUUGACUAAAAGCAUUAAUAAUGUCUUUACUAGAGCUAUUAUCCACAUGGCUUAAGUGCCUUGUUUGUAUGUGUGUGUGUAUGUCUGUGUAUGGUUUAAGCUCCUUGGGCAAGGUCUGGCAUAUGGGCAAAAGAACGUGCUGAAGAAAUCACUCCUUGCUUUCAAGGGACUUACAAUUUAAAGGACUUUUUCUUUUUAAACAACUCUGGUGUUACUUUGAAGGUUGUACACUGUAAAUCAUUUUUUAAUGGAAAAGAUUUUCAAGUAAUUGAUCCUGUCUUUUCUGCCUGAAGUGUGCUUAAGCUGAUAAUGUCCAUGAUUUUGUUUGUGUUCAGAUUUCAUAUUCUGCCUCAUUUAAAGCCAUCAAUGAGCAAGUGACAAAUGGCAGAUAAAAUCGCCAAAUAUGAUAUUCUUUAAACAUUAAGUUUCAGUUUUGUUUCCUCUCCAGUGAAUUAUCAUAAGCAUUUUGUUUUGGUUUUCUUCAUCAAACCAUUUGGGUUCCCCGGAUAAUUCUCCUGACCACAUGAUCAAAUUUGAUUAAGUCCAGAUUACUUGGCCAUUAUUCUUCAAUUCUGCUAAUCAACCACUGUUUUGAUUUUUCAGAUUUAUAUGCAAGUUGAAGUUCAGCUACAAAAAGAUACCAAUUAUUUGAAAAUUAUGCAGUCUUGGAACAGGAAUCAAGGAGGUCUGCAUUCCCUGUGUGUGUAUCAGUUGAUUUCUUGCUCUAUUUUACUGUCACAAGAACUCUGGCUCAUAUGAUCAACAUCAAAGUCAUCAUCAUCAUCGUCAUCAUCCUCCUUGUCAUCAUCAUCAUUGUAACCCACACCACUCUUCUGUUAUGAAAACAUGUAUUUUACCAUAAUGGAUCAUCUUCAUCCAUGCGUAAGUAAUCUGAUGAUACACUUUUGACCUCCUGCAAAACUUCCAAAUCUGAUUUUUCAUGUACUGAAUUGGGCUACUUGUACCAGAAAAGUCAAAAGGAAUCUAAAAACAAAACAAAACAACAACAACAACAAAAAUCCUAGAAUGGUGUGGGCGCAUUAGACCCUCUGUGAUGCUCAAAUAAACAUAAACAAAAUCUGUUAGAUGGAGCAUCGUGUGGGUGAAAAUCCUCAUUUGACACUUUUGCCCACAUGCAUACACCUUGCCUUUCACCACACCAAGUGGGUAAACAAAAGGAUUGCUUCCUGUAUCCACCAAGCAGAGUUACAGGGUUGUACAGCC
This 1244-nucleotide long non-coding RNA is filed under the name Fukomys damarensis (Damara mole-rat). Its description in RNAcentral is "lncRNA (ENSFDAG00000023184.1)". The record is from RNAcentral. Lineage: Eukaryota; Metazoa; Chordata; Mammalia; Rodentia; Bathyergidae.